This 268-nucleotide ribosomal RNA is filed under the name uncultured prokaryote. RNAcentral's name for it is "partial 16S ribosomal RNA". It matches the Rfam family "Bacterial small subunit ribosomal RNA", at positions 524 to 792 of the family's 1533-position model. The record is from RNAcentral.
UACGUAGGGGCGAGCGUUGUCCGGAAUGAUUGGGCGUAAAGGGCGCGUAGGCGGCUGUGUAAGUCAGUAGUGGAAGUCCAGCUUUUAAGGUUGGAAGUGCUAUUGAAACUGUGCAGCUUGAGUGCAGGAGAGGUUAUCGGAAUUCCCGGUGUAGCGGUGAAAUGCGUAGAGAUCGGGAGGAACACCAGUGGCGAAGGCGGGUAACUGGACUGCAACUGACGCUGAGGCGCGAAAAUGUGGGGAGCAAACAGGAUUAGAUACCCUGGUA